RNAcentral lists this ribosomal RNA (253 nucleotides) under uncultured bacterium. RNAcentral's name for it is "partial 16S ribosomal RNA". It matches the Rfam family "Bacterial small subunit ribosomal RNA", at positions 524 to 776 of the family's 1533-position model. The record is from RNAcentral.
UACGGGGGGGGCAAGCGUUGUUCGGAAUUACUGGGCGUAAAGGGCGCGUAGGCGGCCUUCUAAGUCGGACGUGAAAUCCCUCGGCUUAACCGAGGAACUGCGUCCGAUACUGAAAGGCUUGAAUCCGGGAGAGGGAUGUGGAAUUCCGGGUGUAGCGGUGGAAUGCGUAGAGAUCCGGAAGAACACCGGUGGCGAAGGCGGUCUGCUGGGCAGUUGCUGACACUGAGGCGCGACAGCGUGGGGAGCAAACAGG